AUUGAACGCUGGCGGAAUGCUUUACACAUGCAAGUCGAGCGGCAGCGCGGGGGCAACCCUGGCGGCGAGCGGCGAACGGGUGAGUAACAUAUCGGAACGUACCCAGUCGUGGGGGAUAACUAUCCGAAAGGAUAGCUAAUACCGCAUACGACCUGAGGGUGAAAGCGGGGGGACCGUAAGGCCUCGCGCGAUUGGAGCGGCCGAUAUCGGAUUAGCUAGUUGGUGAGGUAAAGGCUCACCAAGGCGACGAUCCGUAGCUGGUCUGAGAGGACGACCAGCACACUGGAACUGAGACACGGUCCAGACUCCUACCGGGAGGCAGCAGUGGGAAUUUUGGACAAUGGGGGCAACCCUGAUCCAGCAACGCCGCGUGAGGGAAGAAGGCUUUCGGGUGUAAACCUCUGUCCUUGGUGACGAAACAAUGACGUAGCCAAGGAGGGAAGCCCCGGCUAACCGUACGUGCCAGCAGCCGCGGUAAU
RNAcentral lists this ribosomal RNA (479 nucleotides) under uncultured bacterium. RNAcentral's name for it is "bacterial SSU rRNA". It matches the Rfam family "Bacterial small subunit ribosomal RNA", at positions 29 to 524 of the family's 1533-position model. The record is from RNAcentral.